This is a non-coding RNA of Tetranychus urticae (two-spotted spider mite), 961 nucleotides long. Lineage: Eukaryota; Metazoa; Arthropoda; Arachnida; Trombidiformes; Tetranychidae. The record is from RefSeq and is a predicted model, not a curated record.
CUGAAGGAUUCAUCGAAGAAGAUGAUCAAGUUGUUCCUAACUUGAAGUCUCUUAAACGCUUUGCAGCGAUACUCUCUGAUUAUGGUCCUUUCAACCUGAAAUUCAUUCUACCCGAGGAAGGGCAAUUGGGAGUGCUAACAGAAACUGGUUAUCAUGAUGGAGUUUUGGGUCUAAUGCAAGCCGGGAAAGCUGAUAUGUGUUUAUUGCCAUUGUCGCUGGAUACUCAGAAGGCUCCUGGUCAUUUCACUUCUGUCGUAUCAGAAGAAAACUUCUAUAUAUCAAGCAUACGUAAGUCACUAAAGAUUAUGCUGAUAACUAUGAACGGGCUGUUGCUGAAGGGUUCGAGGAACCAUUUCCAUUAGGACCUAUUCCUGUAUUUAAAAGAAGGGAACAGAUGCUCACUUUUGUUUCUGGUGUUGGAAAGAAACUGGGUCCAUUAGCAGCUGAUUCAUCUGAUUUACUCAAACCUAAUCAAGAACAUUACUUCUCAGCAAAACCUUUUCAUAGAUCAUUACAAGCUAUGAUUUUCAGCUAUAACGCUUCCGAAUCCCACCGCAAAAGAAUGAAUACGCUAUCUCGUCGGGCUCUCCAAAGUGGCAUUGUUACAAAAAUGAAAGAAGAUACUUACGUUGACUUUAUACUCUCUUUUUAUCCUGCAACCUUAUACGACUUUCAUAAGUCUGAAGUUCCUCGAAAAGUGAUUGAUCUCAGUUGGAAAUCAUUAAAUUACAGUGGAUUCUAUCAAAUAUUGCAUUUAUUCCUCUUCAUGUUGAUUCUGCCCAUAGUUGUAUUGCUUAUUGAGUUAACCAUUGCUUUCCUCUCUCGAUCCAAUCGAGUGCGACGACAAAAUGUAUCAUUUCAGUGUAAAUAUUGAAUAACUAAAACUAUUAAAAAUCAAUUUGACUAUGAACCUUGCUAGCUCUCUUAAAUUGUAUUACUUGCUAUCAAUUAUAUGUUUGAA